GGCAUUUUUUGGUCUAAAAGAGGUCUAAUAGAUGUUUAAAUGUAGCCUAGAUGACUGGUCUAAAAUCAGGCUACCACAGGUCUAAAAAUUAAAGUUAUUAAGACAUCUAGAUUUAGACCAAGUUUAGACUAAAUCUAAAUCUGGGCAAUAUCUAUACUACAUUAUAUAUUUCUCAACAGCUAUCGUGAUUAUUUUGGUUAAGUACUCGGUGAUCAGAUAUGCCACUCACAGUUGUAUUUUGAAAUAAAUAGUAAUCAAAUAAUGGGUUAAAGUGCAACGUCUAAGUUAAAUAAAAAUAUAGAAUCUAGACGGUUGAAAAUAAGUCUUAAAAAAAUAGACUGUCUAUUGCACAGUGGGUUAGUAUGUUAUUUUAAUAGACUAUUUCAGAACAUACAGCCACAAUCACAGGGAAGAUUACUGACUUGACAGACACAACAUCAGAGGCACAGGCUGAGGAGGUCCAAGGUCACUUUUCUGGCUUAAGCAAGAAUAAGGCUUAAGGAAGAAUAUUCAAAGUCCGAUGAGAAGUUCCUGCAGUCUGUGGUGAUUUGGGGUGGCUAAUCAUGUCCUGUUGUUGGUUCACUGUGUUUUGUCAAGCCCGAAGUCAAUGUAGCUACCUCCUAAGCACUUACAGUAGAUAGAUCUUUAUGCUCCAUCUGCUGACAGUCUUUAUAGCAAUGCCAGAUUUCCUUUACAGCAGGACCUAGCACCUGCCCACAGUGCCAAAACUCCUGCCAAAUGGUUUGCUGACAAUGAUAGGAUAAUUUGCUUGAUUGGCUGAUUGAUUUUAACCCCAUAAAGAGUCUGUGGAGUACUGACAAGAAGAAGAGGAAGAUGAGAAACAUCCAAGCCAAAGGUCACUCUAGAGGCAACCAAGAUAUCAGGGUUUGGACUCACGAUGUUUAUUUUUGUUCUUCCUCUCAGUUUCGUGUUUGUUCGUCGUUAGUUAGGGUUGGUUAUGCUGGCUUUGUGGUGUUGAUGUUUUUCUUGUUCUGUUUGUUUCAGAGGUUGGAGGUGUGGUUUGCCUGGUCUGAGGCUUUCAACAGGCACAGCUGCAGCCCAUCAAGUCCCAGUCAGCAGCAGCUCAGUCAGUACACCUCCCUGGUUAACAGCAAGCUGCCAGAAUGUCCCUGCUUCCCCUGCAGUAGCUUGGCUCUUUAAACGCCUGUCUUGUGAGUUAUUGAAUGAUUACUAGUUAUUUCACCUGUGGACUUGCUCUGUGCUCUUGUCCUUUUCCCCAGUACCUCUGACUGCCAUCCCCAGCCUCAAAUCCUUGAAGUCAAUCAGUCAAGUCACAUUGAGUUGCCUCCAUGCCACCCCACACUGAUGUAGUAAUUUAUGAUAAAGGAGCCUAAACCAAG
This is a non-coding RNA of Xyrichtys novacula (pearly razorfish), 1361 nucleotides long. Lineage: Eukaryota; Metazoa; Chordata; Actinopteri; Labriformes; Labridae. The record is from the annotation of a GenBank genome assembly.